This 433-nucleotide ribosomal RNA is filed under the name uncultured bacterium. Its description in RNAcentral is "bacterial SSU rRNA". It matches the Rfam family "Bacterial small subunit ribosomal RNA", at positions 29 to 506 of the family's 1533-position model. The record is from RNAcentral.
ACGAACGCUGGCGGCAGGCCUAACACAUGCAAGUCGAACGGGUGUAGCAAUACAUCAGUGGCAGACGGGUGAGUAACGCGUGGGAAUCUCCCCAGAGGUACGGAACAACUCAGGGAAACUUGAGCUAAUACCGUAUGUGCCCGAGAGGGCAAAGAUUUAUCGCCUUUGGAUGAGCCCGCGUUGGAUUAGCUAGUUGGUGGGGUAACGGCCUACCAAGGCUACGAUCCAUAGCUGAUCUGAGAGGAUGAUCAGCCACACUGGGACUGAGACACGGCCCAGACUCCUACGGGAGGCAGCAGUGGGGAAUCUUGGACAAUGGGCGCAAGCCUGAUCCAGCCAUGCCGCGUGAGUGAAGAAGGCCUUAGGGUUGUAAAGCUCUUUUACCCGGGAAGAUAAUGACGGUACCGGGAGAAUAAGCCCCGGCAAACUUCGU